CGUAACAAGGUUUCCGUAGGUGAACCUGCGGAAGGAUCAUUACCUAGAGUUGUAGGCUUUGCCUGCUAUCUCUUACCCAUGUCUUUUGAGUACCUUCGUUUCCUCGGCGGGUCCGCCCGCCGAUUGGACAAUUUAAACCAUUUGCAGUUGCAAUCAGCGUCUGAAAAAACUUAAUAGUUACAACUUUCAACAACGGAUCUCUUGGUUCUGGCAUCGAUGAAGAACGCAGCGAAAUGCGAUAAGUAGUGUGAAUUGCAGAAUUCAGUGAAUCAUCGAAUCUUUGAACGCACAUUGCGCCCCUUGGUAUUCCAUGGGGCAUGCCUGUUCGAGCGUCAUUUGUACCUUCAAGCUCUGCCUGGUGUUGGGUGUUUGUCUCGCCUCUGCGCGCAGACUCGCCUCAAAACAAUUGGCAGCCGGCGUAUUGAUUUCGGAGCGCAGUACAUCUCGCGCUUUGCACUCAUAACGACGACGUCCAAAAGUACAUUUUUACACUCUUGACCUCGGAUCAGGUAGGGAUACCCGCUGAACUUAAGC
Molecule: ribosomal RNA, 534 nt
Filed under: uncultured fungus
Lineage: Eukaryota; Fungi
Description: eukaryotic LSU rRNA
Rfam family: 5.8S ribosomal RNA (bases 182-335)
Source: RNAcentral